RNAcentral lists this long non-coding RNA (4025 nucleotides) under Heterocephalus glaber (naked mole-rat). RNAcentral's name for it is "lncRNA (ENSHGLG00100039855.1)". The record is from RNAcentral. Lineage: Eukaryota; Metazoa; Chordata; Mammalia; Rodentia; Bathyergidae.
CGAACUGCUGCACCCCGGGUCCUGGACCCACAGAGAGGCUGUGACCUCCUAGCACGCCUCACCAGCCCCCUUGCCUGAUCCUUCACCAAAUCUCCUCUUUCUUGGCCUUGGAGCUUCAUGAAGAAGGAGGUCUGAGAGCCCCCCAUACGCAUCAUCCCAGAAAAGUCUAGGCCCCUUCUAUUCAUUGGUAUUUUUUUUCCCUUUCAUUCAACAAGAAAUUAGUGCAUGUCAGCAUGUGCCAGGCACGAGCAAGGCCGGGAGGCAGGAAGAGGGGCGGCCCCAGGCUACAGGGACCAGCCAGCCCCAUCCCUACCCCCUCUCCUUCUCGCCUGACUCAGCCGACAGCAGGAUGGGAAUGAAGGGCGCCCCACCAGCGUCCUCCAAUUUCCCGCUAUUCAGCUCAGACCUGAGUAGCAGCAGGCAGCCGAAAGGAUUUGCAGCUCUCUCCCAAAACAGCCCUCUUGGCCACCUCCCGCUUCCCACAUGGGCAAAGUCAGGACCACACCUGAGAAGGAGCCAAUUGGAGAAGACCCACCUUGGACCCUUCCUGGAGGAGAGGCAGUUCCCUGGCUGCCAGCACAAAGGCCAGGGCUGGGCCAACGUGCCUGCAAGAGGCCUGAUUUCUUCCUGGAGACUGAAGAGCCUGGGGAUACAACCACAGCUCCCCUCCCCCAGAGCCACCUCACACCCACUGGCCUCCCUGCUCCCCGGAGGGCAAGGGCUGCAGGGACCCAGAGGGAGCACGAAUGUGGUUUCCUCUCAGCCUCACCCCCCAGAGACUUCCGCUGGGCUGUGGCCAACCUGGGCGGAGAUGUCAGCCUCCUCAGGAAGCCUCCUGCUCCGAGGGAGAGAGACAGACAAGCUGACAGUCAGUGGGGCAGGACACAAGGCCACGCCCCUUCCACCGGAGGCAGCAGGUGGGGAGACCCAGGAGAGAAGAGCGGCCGGAGAGGCUGAGGUCAGCAGCCACUUGGCUCUGGAAGCAGCUGCAGAUGUGUGGCCACACCAGCACCAGGGGACCCUAUUGUGCAUCUAUGCUGGGCUGGAAGACUGCAAAACCACUUGGCAGAAGACAUAAAUGAGAAAUCCUGUACCAAGUAAGGAUGAAAAGAAGAAUUGGAAACAAGUAUGCAAUCGGCCACCAACUAUCGAAUGGAAGCAAUAAAAAAGAACUCAACCAGGGCCGGGGAUUUAGCCCAAUGGUUCUGCCGCCUGCCUUGCAAGUGCAAGGAUCCAAGUUCGAUCCCUGGUACCAAAAAAAAAUUGUUUGUGCAAAAAGAACUCAACCCUACCCAUGCUCAUGCCUACACACUCUCGCACACCUUCCCUCUCUCUCCCUCAGAGGGACUCAGUUCCAAGGUGUGAAUACACCAAGUCUGCCCUCCUCAGGGCUGCCGUGCAUGUCAGAUGAGAAGAUGCAGGGAUGGUGCCUGCAGACGUGAACACACUCCACGCAUGUGGAUGAAGUAUCACUUGACCCCAAUUCUUCUCUCAGGGAGAAGGAAGCUCCUGCUGGGUCCUGAAGCUUCUUAGUUUUCUAGUUAGUUUCCUUUUGUUCCUCUCCAAAGCUCUGCUUACCCAGGAGAAUAAUGUCAACACUUAUGAUGCCAUUUUAAUCAUCCCAGGGGCAUUGAUCAUUAUUAUGAAUCCCAAAAUAGCUGAGCUAUUCAUGUUUGACAGUGCGAUCAUGCAGGGCUAUACAUCAUGGAACCUUCAAUGGAGGAUAUGCCUUGGUUUUCCAUGCACCUUCUCAUCUGUCGUCUCACAGAGAGGAGGUAUUCUCCCGAUUAUAGGGGUCCAAAACCAGGGGCCAAGGUGGGUCUGAUCACUCACCAGCUGGAGGACUGUGCUGGAAGGAUGGGCGCAGGUCCCUUCUCUGUUUCAGCAUGAGAUUUGCACACUGAGGGAAGUGUACGGCACCCCACACACACACACACUGUGGGCUCCAUCUUUUCUCCCUAGCAUUGAGGUUUAAGGUUCCCACCUCCUUCCCAGCCCUGUUUCCUGGUCCCACCACCUCCUCCCCUGGGUCUUGCUCAACAAUGACCUUUUGGCAUCUCUGCCUCUCCCUCUGCACAGCUUCCACCUUGCCUCCCUGACAGGUGUGUUCAUGCCCCGACCACAUACCACCUGCUCCAGACGGAUGCCCUCUCUGUUGCCCUCCCUGGCUCAGAUGCUCCUGAAAGCAGAGUCCGGGAUCCAGGCCUAGGGACAGGCACAAACUUAAGUAUCUACAUGGGUUGAAUUGUGUCCUCCCCAAGGCUAUGCUCAAGGUCUAACCUCUCAUUCCUGUGGAUGGAUCUUACUUAGGAAGAGGACCAAGUCCAGAGGAGCUCCCAUAGUGCUUCAGUGGGCUCUAACCCACUGAUGGACUUCCUUAAAAGAAGGAAGAUUUGGACCCAGAAACACUUCGGGAGACCACAAAGGCCUCAUAUUGGAGUAAUGUAUCUAUAAGCCCAAGCAUAAAAAGGAUUGCCAGCAUCACCUGGAAGCCAGUAGAGAGGUCUGGCCCUGACUCUCCCAAGAGCCUUCGGAGGGAACCACCCCUGCCAACACCUUGACUUUGGACUUUACCCUCCAGAACUGGGAGAGAAUUCGAAUGUCAUUUUAAGCGACUCUUGUCUGUUGGGAUUUGUUGCUGCAGCCACAAAGCCCAAACACAGUGUCCACCUCCUUAGGGCUUCUACACUCUCCUAAAAGAAGUGAGGCUGUGGUCAUCUGCAUCCAGUUCUUUUGCAUGCAUUGUUACAAGGACAGCUGUGGCCCUGUGGAGCCAGCCCAAAUCCCAGCCCUCUGAGGGCAGGCGCCUUGUGUCCGAAACAGGAGCACCUCAACAACCAAGCACUGAUGUCAGCACCCAGGUUCCAGCACUCAGCAUCAUAAUCAGAAGAGACCAACACCUUGCUGGGCACGCUGACCGGACUCCACCAAUGCUAUUUCCCAGCCUGCAGACCACUCUGCCUGUCUCAGAUCACAGCCACUAAUGGGGAAUCCAGGGGACUCCAAGAAGAACAAAGGCCAACCAAGACGCCAGCGUGAGCCACCAAGUCCAGCCACGGUGACUUCCCCGGGGGACUUCUGCCACCGCACCCCCUGCCCACAGGGGCUUUCCUGGCCAAAGAGAUCCCUGGCUGAGAACCUCAAGGUUGAAGAUAAAUUCAUUUGCCUUCAGGUGCUUGAGCUGAUCCAUUAAUUACAGCUGACUUGGACCGGCUCUCUGUAAACAGGAUUACAGGCAGAAGCAUUCUGUCCUCUGGUCUUCUAAUGUGCCACCACAUGUGACAAUGGCUUGCCAAUUCCAGUCCCUGUGGGGAGGGCUUGUCCCCAUGACAAUGUGCAGGUGAGCAGGCUUUCCCCUCUCUCCUCCUCCUCAGGGACAGAGGCUGCAGGCCAGAGGAGUCUCUGGUAGGAAGGGAUCAGGUGGAGCCCCUCCAGGUACCUUUUCGGCACAUGAGGCAGAGCAACGUUCAGAGGUCCGGGAUGGUGGCUGACUCGGCUCCAGGGGGCCUGAGGGGAGAGGUGAAGGCGAUUCCACCCAGCCUGGAAACUCCCCGACUCUCAGCCUUCCCACUGGGAGAGGCAUCAGUGUCUGUCCCCUCCGACCAUUCCGGAGUACACGGGGCCUAGAUGCGGGGUUGGGUGAGCACCGCUGGCAGCACUGAAUUUCAGGGGAGGCUCCACUUCCUUCCCAGAGAAACGAAAGCUCAGGGCUGUCUGGGUGUCCCUGCAGCCUUUGCCCACAGCUUAAGUUCUGACACCUCACCUCUGAGGGCGGCCAGGCAGGGCCACAGGGGGCCUUCCAGGUCCUUCCACCCGUUCUCUGGGGCUGCACACACCCAGCAGGGCGGCCCCUCCCCACCCCACCGUCACCCACCUGCAGCUCCCCGUGCCCCCCCCAGCACCUCAGCAGAUGGCAUUCUGAGUCCCACCACGGCUCCAUCCCCGCUCCCAGCCCAUUCAGGGUCCAAGGCCAGACUUGGUGGCCUUCAUUACAGACUAUAACACAAAAACACAAUAAAAUAAAA